CGUAGGUGGCAAGCGUUGUCCGGAUUUAUGGGUUUAAAGGGUGCGUAGGCGGUCCCAUAAGUCAGUGCUGAAAUAUCCCGGCUUAACCGGGAGGGUGGCAUUGAUACUGUGGGACCUGAGUAAAGUUGAGGUUGGCGGAAUUGACGGUGUAGCGGUGAAAUGCUUAGAUAUCGUCAAGAACACCUAUUGCGAAGGCAGCUAACUAAGCUUUAACUGACGCUGAGGCACGAAAGUGUGGGGAUCAAACAGGAUUAGAUACCCUGGUAGUCCACACUGUAAACGUUGAUUACUCGCUGUUGGCGAUACACAGCCAGCGGCCAAGCGCAAGCGAUAAGUAAUCCACCUGGGGAGUACGCCGGCAACGGUG
Molecule: ribosomal RNA, 367 nt
Filed under: uncultured organism
Description: bacterial SSU rRNA
Rfam family: Bacterial small subunit ribosomal RNA
Source: RNAcentral